GGAAAUGCUGGUUAGGUGACCAUGGCUUUGAUGGGAAUGUCCUACUGGAGAGACAUGCAUACACUCCAAUGUGACCAGACAGCUUUAAGGAACUAAUUCAGGUUGACUUCAUGGAGCCAAUGGAAACGUUGCAAAUGUUGGCUUAGAGUUCCCAGCAACCUUACUAGUAACACACCUUUUGGGAUAUGAAAUUCUUGCUCUGAUUGUUGCUGGAUGUUUGCUGCCUGCCUGAGCGACACAACUUGAGACAAACUUCAGAGAACUGCCACAAUACCUCAUGUACAAUCUUCCUGCCUGUUACUCCGUGGGGAUAAUGGCAGGACCCAUGGGCCUAUGAUUAUUUUAACAGUUGGACUACAGGAUGGACUCCCCAACAGUUGUGUAAGUCAGCUGUCACCCUGACUGAUUCUACAUGGCUGGGAUGGCAAAAUCGCUCCUCAAAAGCCAGAGUGUACCCCACUCCAUGGAUUAGCUAUGAACUUGUGGAAUCAGUGGGUGGCCCACCUUCCUCAGGACUGAUUGGAUGAUGCACUUGGGGACGCCCAUAUCUCCCAGGAGGAGCUGUCUUCCACUUGCUGGUUAUUUCCUUGUCAUUAGGAUGUUGUUAAAGCUAGACCUCAGGCAAAGAGGGUUUCUUGAUGGUUUUAUCCCUUGGUCAUAUUUGUCCCAGGAGCUCCCCUAUCAUUGUAGAAUUAUAAGUAAAGGCUUUAGCUAAGCA
Molecule: long non-coding RNA, 718 nt
Organism: Suricata suricatta (meerkat)
Lineage: Eukaryota; Metazoa; Chordata; Mammalia; Carnivora; Herpestidae
Exons: 2
Source: RefSeq, a predicted model, not a curated record